Molecule: long non-coding RNA, 2954 nt
Filed under: Salmo salar (Atlantic salmon)
Lineage: Eukaryota; Metazoa; Chordata; Actinopteri; Salmoniformes; Salmonidae
Description: lncRNA (ENSSSAG00000103101.1)
Source: RNAcentral
CGAUAGUGGACGAUGAGGGCCCUGUCGUUCCAGCCUGCUCCGGCAGCCAAGGUCCGGAAUUCCUGGGCGCUCCUCGUCCCCUGCCUCAAAUGGAAGAGCCAUUCCCCCGCCGCUCUACCCUUCAGGUGGAUGGUCGAAGACAGCCCGGAAGCUACGGGUGAACUCCUCGAAGUGGUCCAACGCCGCGUCUCCUUCUCCCCACACGGCGUUUGCCCACUCCAGAGCUCUCCCCAAGAGACAUGAGAUGAGGGCAGACACUCUCUCCCUUCCUGAGGGAGCUGGGUGCACAGUGGCCAGGUAGUGGUCCAGUUGUAACAGGAAUCCCUGGCACUGUGCUGCCGUCCCAUCAUACUCCCUGGGAAGGGAGAGACGCAUCCCACUGGGACUGGCUCCGGACGGGACGGGUAGAGGUGACCCCGGUUGCACUGGUCGAGGCACUGGAGAGACCUCCUGUCUCUCCCAGCGGUCCAUAGUCUGGCCAACGCGAUCCAUUAUGGCACCAAGAUGAUGUAACAUAGCCGAAUGUUCCUGGACGCGCUCCUCGACUCCUCUAACCGGGGUCCCUGCUCCUGCUGACUCCAUGGGUGGUGUGAAAUUCUGUUAUGGGUGUGUAAGGGAGGCGAAGUCAGGUGCAGGAGAGUAGCGUGUGGUAACAGGCGAGCUCUAUUCCGUUCCAACAAACAACAGCACAGAAUACACUAAACGUGCCAAAACAUGGAACAUGAAUAAAAAUACAGGCGCAUGGUAAAUUCCCACAUAACAUACAACAAUUUCACACAAAGACAUGGAGGGGAACAGAGGACUAAAUACAUGCAGUGUGAUUAGGGAAUGAAAACCAGGUGUGUAUGGAACAAGACAAAACAAAUGGAAAUAUGAAAAAUGGAGCAGCGAUGGCUAGAAAGCUGGUGACGUCGAUCGCCGAACGCCGCCCAAACAAGGAGAGGAGCUGACUUCAGCGGAAGUCGUGACAUUUGUGCACAACAUUUGAGAGAAAUAAGCUUUUUGUACGUAUGGAAAAUUUUGGGGAUUUUUUAUUUCAGCUCAUGAAACAUGGGACCAACACUUUACAUGUUGUGUUUAUAGUUUUGUUCAGUCUAAAUCAGAAGGGAGUAUGUUUUGAUGUGUCUGUCAUAUCUGAUAGAUAUAAGAAAGCUCAGGAAAAUUAUUAUAUAUUUUUUACAGUGGAAAUGCCCUAUUCACUACCAUUCAUUUUUCGGCUCGGUACCGGGUUACCUUCAGACGGGUCCUGUGACACUUGUGGGGGUCAUACCGCAGAACUGAUAACGCCAUCAUGUUCAUGAGAGUCUCAUUUUUCCAUAGACAUGUUUUUGUUGGAAGACUCGUUUUCGGGAUAUCUCCUGGUCUGACAAACACCGCUGUAGCUCUGCAACCUUCCACCUCAGAUGCGGAUAUACAUUAUCUCUAGCUUAAACAGUGUCGGUCCCUCUGGGAGAUAUUAUGCUAAUUCACUUUCUACAGGGGUGGACAUUAAUCACUGAUUAUAACUGAUUAGGAAGUCCUAGCCAAGCAUUAGCACACCUGACACACAAAGAGUAAUUGCAUCAGGUGUGCUAGUGCUGGGUAAGAACAAACCCCUGUGGGUCCUCAGGACCAGGAUUGAAUAACAUUGAUAGCCAGGAUAUAUUGGUAAGCAUUGUCUAGAGAGGAGGAUCGAGUUGGUUCUAGCAGAUUGAUUUAUGAUUUUCUGUUUAGUAUUUUUAAAGGCUUUAGAUUUUAUUUUCAGGCAUUCUCUGAUGAAUUUAACAAGAGGUUCACAACCAAGUCUGCAACUUCAGGUGGCUCAGCAGCGGUGUCUACUCAGAAGAUUAAAGGUUCUUCCUCAAGUUCAGCAAUGUAUGAGAUAAAGAUGUCAGGAGUGGUUGUACAGGCUGUCACAGGGGACAUUACCAAAGAGACUACGGAUGUCAUUGUCAACUCCUCCAACUCCUCCUUCAGCCUCAAGUCAGGGGUGUCUAAAGCCAUUCUGGACACGGCUGGUCCGACUGUGGAGACUGAAUGCCAACAACUCGGUAAGAGCCUCUACCCUUGACAUCAUAACACAAGAUAUGACAAUCACAGGGUUACACUAUACUUCCCUUUCAUCUGGGUAUUUUCCUCCUGGUUUACCAGUGGUAAACAACAUCAACUCCACUUUAGAAAGCAGAAUCACAUGUCCUGGGGUGGCCUAGCUAGCUGUCUAGUGCUCCAUCUUUACACAAUCAGGCAAUCAAACACAAUGUUUACCUCAACCCGCUCCCAGUUCGGUGAUACAUUUUGAGGGAAUCAUGGGCAGAGUGGUUUUGGUGGGGCGCGGGACUUUCUCGUUCAAACAAACAACUAGCAACAGCUACAAACCAAAACCAUGGUUUGUAUUAUGAAACCUUAACUAUGCUAGAAACAGUGUCAGUGGCAUUUACCGUGAGAAGCUUGCUAACUAAAAUGGCUAGCUGGCAUAAACAGCUAAUCUAGCUAGAUUGAUAACUUGUACAUUACAACCAACGAGAGUGAACAUGAACAGUUCCAAGAACUGUCACUCCAAUUGAAAUCCCCCAAUCACACUUGUAGCCGAUGUCGGUGACGUAACCUAGCAAAGCUCAUGCGCAGAAACAUAUCAUUGGGUCUAAUGCUUGUCCACAGAACAUAUUGCAUUUAACAAACAGUUACAUGACCUACAUCAUGGUCAGCAAGGUAAAGAUUCCGACAUUUUUGGACAACUAAGCACAAUUGAUUUAGCCUCUAUGGGACCGGCGGGACGAAUUCGUCCCACCUACGUAACAGCCAGUUGAAUCCUGUGGCACGAUUUUCAAAACCUUUGAAAUGCUAUUACUUCAAUUUCUCAAACAUAUUACUAUUUUAUAGCUAUGUAAAGACAAGACUCUCGUUAAUCUAACCACACUGUCCGAUUUCAAAAAGGCUUUACAACGAAAGCAAAACAUUAGAUUAUGUCAGCAGAG